Molecule: transfer RNA, 69 nt
Filed under: Rattus norvegicus (Norway rat)
Lineage: Eukaryota; Metazoa; Chordata; Mammalia; Rodentia; Muridae
Rfam family: tRNA
About the family: Transfer RNA (tRNA) molecules are approximately 80 nucleotides in length. Their secondary structure includes four short double-helical elements and three loops (D, anti-codon, and T loops).
Source: Rfam by way of RNAcentral
GGGGAUUUAGUUCAGCGGUAGAGCGCUUGCCUAGCAAGCACAAGGCCCUGGGUUCAAUCCCCAGCUCCG